UGGUAGUUACCGUUGUUUCAG
RNAcentral lists this non-coding RNA (21 nucleotides) under Arabidopsis thaliana (thale cress). The record is from RNAcentral. Lineage: Eukaryota; Viridiplantae; Streptophyta; Magnoliopsida; Brassicales; Brassicaceae.